This 494-nucleotide ribosomal RNA is filed under the name uncultured bacterium. RNAcentral describes it as "bacterial SSU rRNA". It matches the Rfam family "Bacterial small subunit ribosomal RNA", at positions 903 to 1397 of the family's 1533-position model. The record is from RNAcentral.
AAAGGAAUAGACGGGGGCCCGCACAAGCAGCGGAGCAUGUGGUUUAAUUCGAAGCAACGCGAAGAACCUUACCAGGACUUGACAUCCACGGAAUCCUUAAGAGAUUAGGGAGUGCCCUUCGGGGAACCGUGAGACAGGUGGUGCAUGGUUGUCGUCAGCUCGUGUCGUGAGAUGUUGGGUUAAGUCCCGCAACGAGCGCAACCCCUGUUGCUAGUUGCCAUCAUUAAGUUGGGCACUCUAGCGAGACUGCCGAGGUUAACUCGGAGGAAGGUGGGGAUGACGUCAAAUCAUCAUGCCCUUUAUGUCCUGGGCUACACACGUGCUACAAUGGCUGGUACAGAGAGAAGCAAUACCGCGAGGUGGAGCAAAUCUUCAAAACCAGUCCCAGUUCGGAUUGCAGGCUGAAACCCGCCUGCAUGAAGCUGGAGUUGCUAGUAAUCGUGGAUCAGAAUGCCACGGUGAAUGCGUUCCCGGGCCUUGUACACACCGCCCGU